CGGCGAGUGAAGCGGCAACAGCUCAAAUUUGAAAUCUGGCCCUCGGGUCCGAGUUGUAAUUUGUAGAGGAUGCUUUUGGCGAGGUGCCUUCCGAGUUCCCUGGAACGGGACGCCUUAGAGGGUGAGAGCCCCGUACGGUUGGACACCAAGCCUCUGUAAAGCUCCUUCAACGAGUCGAGUAGUUUGGGAAUGCUGCUCUAAAUGGGAGGUAAAUUUCUUCUAAAGCUAAAUAUUGGCCAGAGACCGAUAGCGCACAAGUAGAGUGAUCGAAAGAUGAAAAGCACUUUGAAAAGAGGGUUAAAUAGCACGUGAAAUUGUUGAAAGGGAAGCGUUUGCGACCAGACCUUUUCCUGGCGGAUCAUCCGGCGUUCUCGCCGGUGCACUUCGCCAGGUUGAGGCCAGCAUCGGUUCUCGCAGGGGGAUAAAAGUUCGGGGAACGUAGCUCCUCCGGGAGUGUUAUAGCCCCGGGCAUAAUACCCUUGCGGGGACCGAGGACCGCGCUUCGGCAAGGAUGCUGGCAUAAUGGUCGUCAACGACCCGUCUUGAAACACGGACCAAGGAGUCGAACAGUUGUGCGAGUGUUUGGGUGUCAAACCCUCACGCGUAAUGAAAGUGAACGGAGGUGAGAGCCCGCAAGGGCGCAUCAUCGACCGAUCCUGAUGUCUUCGGAUGGAUUUGAGUAAGAGCAUAACUGUUCGGACCCGAAAGAUGGUGAACUAUGCGUGGAUAGGGUGAAGCCAGAGGAAACUCUGGUGGAGGCUCGCAGCGGUUCUGACGUGCAAAUCGAUCGUCAAAUCUGCGCAUGGGGGCGAAAG
Molecule: ribosomal RNA, 815 nt
Filed under: Xylariaceae sp. OTU4
Lineage: Eukaryota; Fungi; Ascomycota; Sordariomycetes; Xylariales; Xylariaceae
Description: eukaryotic LSU rRNA
Rfam family: Eukaryotic large subunit ribosomal RNA
Source: RNAcentral